UUAGUUGACAAUGACUUGAGGGGAAGUUGCCAUUUGCUUAGUCAGAGGAGUAGUUUAUGGAUAGAUGAGGUGCCUGAAGUUUUACUGUGCAAAGGCAGAGGUGUGAUUGGUUUUGGAAUAUAGCCAAGUGCUGAUCUCAUUGUGAGUUAUGGGGGUGGUCUUUGUCUGAAUUGCAGAGGGAUGGUCGCUCUGAAUCUUGAACUAUUUUUGAUGAUUACUUCUGGUUCUGGCCUUCUGGGUAUUCUCCUUUCUCUUUCCGAUGCACUUUUCUUUGUUUUUUGUCUUGUCGAAGUGAUUGCCUGAAUGCCGAAAAAAGGUUGAAAGCUUCUGUCAGUGCCUAUUUUGAGAUGACUGCUCUUCUCCUUCCCAUGGAAGCAGAGCAUGCCUUUUGUUGCGUGCUUCUUGUCAGCUGGCCCAUGCAUUCGUUUCAGUUGCCCACACGCGUCUGAACCUCCUGCUCUUAUCUGAACCAGCCCGCUUGAACAGAAAUGCGUGGUUAUAUGGUGAUGAUCUGUUGGACCUGAAUUUCAUGUUCGCAGCGCUUCCGCAUCAUAGCAAUGGCUUCCUCCGAAGGGUUCUUGCUCGAUUCCGAAACAAGUUUCAGUGACGAGUUCUAUUUGGAUUCUAAGUUACUAAUAGAUCCCAAGCUUUUGUUUGUCGGCCCGAAGAUUGGAGAAGGUGCGCACGCCAAAGUAUACGAGGGGAAAUAUAAGAACCAGAAUGUUGCCAUCAAAAUAAUUCAGAAAGGGGAAGCACCAGAGGAGAUUGCAAAACGAGCAGCUCGGUUUGCCAGAGAAGUGUCUAUGCUUGCCAGAGUGCAACAUAAGAAUCUGGUGAAGUUUAUUGGGGCCUGUAAGGAACCUGUGAUGGUUGUUGUGACUGAACUUUUGUUGGGCGGUUCAUUGCGCAAAUAUUUGUUGAAUAUGCGGCCGAGAUGUUUGGAUAUGCAGGUGGCAGUCAGUUUUGCCCUGGACAUUGCUCAAGCAAUGGAGUGCCUGCACUCACAUGGUAUCAUUCAUCGUGAUCUGAAACCUGAAAAUUUACUGUUAACGGAGGACCAUAAAACUGUAAAGCUUGUAGACUUUGGUUUAGCAAGGGAGGAGACUUUAACAGAAAUGAUGACCGCAGAAACUGGAACAUACCGAUGGAUGGCUCCAGAGUUGUACAGCACAGUAACUUUAAGGCAUGGAGAGAAAAAACAUUACAAUCACAAGGUUGAUGCUUACAGCUUUGCAAUAGUUUUGUGGGAGCUGUUACACAAUCGUAUGCCAUUUGAAGGCAUGUCAAACUUGCAAGCUGCAUAUGCUGCUGCGUUCAAAAAUGUUAGGCCGAGUGCAGACAACCUUCCAGAGGAUUUGGCUUCCCUUUUGACUUCAUGCUGGCAAGAAGAUCCCAAUUCACGACCCAACUUUAGCCAAAUUGUCAAGAUUCUCCAAGAUUUUUUGCACACUAUCUCACCUCCAACUUCUGCAGUUUCCUCUCACGUGUUUUCCUCCGACAAUGUGCUCCUGCCCCCAGAAUCUCCUGGAACUAGCUCUUUGAUGGCUAUACGAGAUAACUUAGGUGAAAUGACAAAGAUGAAGUUGGCAAGUAAAUCAAAGGGCAUUUUUUUCUGCUUUAAGAAGUGCUGUUGAAUUUGGUAAAGGGAGGAAUCUUUGUAAAAGUGCGUGUACAUGAAACUUCUGAAGAAGGUGAGAACUACAUUGAGAGCAUGGAUGCUAUCUCAACCCUACAUUCUAGAAUCUAAAUGAAUCUCAGUAAUUGGAUUGUGUUUUAUCAAGUCACAGAGCAUCUGCCCACUGACCUUUCAUUGUCUUUGCUUGUUGUUGAGAGGGACUGUAUCUUUUGCCCCCAUUAAUGGUAUAUGAAGCUUUAUCUGUUAAAAAAAUUUUAACUUCAGAUUUUGAAA
Nymphaea colorata (pocket water lily) is the source of this 1909-nucleotide RNA transcript. It is a transcript of the gene named serine/threonine-protein kinase STY13-like, with no coding region annotated. The record is from RefSeq and is a predicted model, not a curated record. NCBI's taxonomy places the organism in Eukaryota, Viridiplantae, Streptophyta, Magnoliopsida, Nymphaeales, Nymphaeaceae. The transcript has 8 exons.